UUCUUCCUACGGGGGGCAGCAGUGGGGAAUAUUGCACAAUGGGGGAAACCCUGAUGCAGCGACGCCGCGUGAGUGAGGAAGUAUUUCGGUAUGUAAAGCUCUAUCAGCAGGGAAGAAAAUGACGGUACCUGACUAAGAAGCCCCGGCUAACUACGUGCCAGCAGCCGCGGUAAUACGUAGGGGGCAAGCGUUAUCCGGAUUUACUGGGUGUAAAGGGAGCGUAGACGGAGGAGCAAGUCUGAUGUGAAAAUCCGGGGCCCAACCCCGGAACUCCAUUGGAAACUGUUUAUCUAUACCGUCGGAGG
Molecule: ribosomal RNA, 305 nt
Filed under: uncultured bacterium
Lineage: Bacteria
Description: bacterial SSU rRNA
Rfam family: Bacterial small subunit ribosomal RNA
Source: RNAcentral